UUAUGACGAGGAAUUGGUGUGUAGUUUAGGGUUGGACGAAGAUAUGGUUGUUGUUGAGUUUAAUAUGUGUAGUGUAUUGGUUGUUGGGGUGUUUGAUAGGUUAAACUUGUUGGUUGUUGUUGUAUUUUUAAUGUGUAGUUAGUUUGUUUGGAUGUGGUGUAUUGUGUUUGCUGUUGGAAUUGAUGAUUGUAUGAUUGUUGUUGUUGUG
RNAcentral lists this long non-coding RNA (208 nucleotides) under Lathyrus oleraceus (garden pea). RNAcentral describes it as "Pisum sativum (pea) long non-coding RNA (PSAT_LNC027666)". Lineage: Eukaryota; Viridiplantae; Streptophyta; Magnoliopsida; Fabales; Fabaceae. The record is from RNAcentral.